Molecule: ribosomal RNA, 254 nt
Filed under: uncultured bacterium
Lineage: Bacteria
Description: partial 16S ribosomal RNA
Rfam family: Bacterial small subunit ribosomal RNA
Source: RNAcentral
UACGUAGGGUGCGAGCGUUAAUCGGAAUUACUGGGCGUAAAGCGUGCGCAGGCGGUUAUUUAAGUCAGGUGUGAAAGCCCUGGGCUUAACCUAGGAAUUGCGCUUGAGACUGGAUAGCUUGGAGUGCGGCAGAGGGAGGUGGAAUUCCACGUGUAGCAGUGAAAUGCGUAGAGAUGUGGAGGAACACCGAUGGCGAAGGCAGCCUCCUGGGCCAGCACUGACGCUCAUGCACGAAAGCGUGGGGAGCAAACGGG